Molecule: ribosomal RNA, 464 nt
Filed under: uncultured bacterium
Lineage: Bacteria
Description: bacterial SSU rRNA
Rfam family: Bacterial small subunit ribosomal RNA
Source: RNAcentral
AUUGAACGCUGGCGGCGUGCUUAACACAUGCAAGUCGAUCGGUAACAGGUGUAGCAAUACAUGCUGACGAGAGGCGGACGGGUGAGUAAUGCUUGGGAAUCUGCCUAUUAGUGGGGGACAACCCGGGAAACUCGGGCUAAUACCGCAUACGCUCUACGGAGGAAAGCCGGGGACCGCAAGGCCUGGCGCUAAUAGAUGAGCCCAAGUCGGAUUAGCUAGUUGGUAGGGUAACGGCCUACCAAGGCGACAAUCCGUAGCUGGUCUGAGAGGACGACCAGCCACACCGGAACUGAGACACGGUCCGGACUCCUACGGGAGGCAGCAGUGGGGAAUAUUGGACAAUGGGGGCAACCCUGAUCCAGCGACGCCGCGUGGGUGAAGAAGGCCUGCGGGUUGUAAAGCCCUUUUGGCAGGGAACAAUUUUUGAGUGUACCUGCAGAAUAAGAGGUUGCUAACUCUGUGCC